Molecule: ribosomal RNA, 478 nt
Filed under: uncultured bacterium
Lineage: Bacteria
Description: partial 16S ribosomal RNA
Rfam family: Bacterial small subunit ribosomal RNA
Source: RNAcentral
GACGAACGCUGGCGGCGUGCUUAACACAUGCAAGUCGAACGGUAAGGCCCUUCGGGGUACACGAGUGGCGAACGGGUGAGUAACACGUGGGUGAUCUGCCCUGCACUUCGGGAUAAGCCUGGGAAACUGGGUCUAAUACCGGAUAGGACCACUGCCUGCAUGGGUGGUGGUGGAAAGCUUUUGCGGUGUGGGAUGGGCCCGCGGCCUAUCAGCUUGUUGGUGGGGUGAUGGCCUACCAAGGCGACGACGGGUAGCCGGCCUGAGAGGGUGACCGGCCACACUGGGACUGAGAUACGGCCCAGACUCCUACGGGAGGCAGCAGCGGGGAAUAUUGCACAAUGGGCGCGAGCCUGAUGCAGCGACGCCGCGUGAGGGAUGACGGCCUUCGGGUUGUAAACCUCUUUCAGCACCGACGAAGCGCAAGUGGCGGUAGGUGCAGAAGAAGGACCGGCCAACUACGUGCCAGCCGCCGCAGUAA